ACUCUCCAGGACUGGAGUUCGCCACCCCUGUUAUAGAUUGUAAUUUUUAUCCAGCCUUAUUGCUAUAGUAUACUAUGCUAAAGUUAUGACAAACCUUGUGUUUAUUGCAGUUAGAACCACGGCAGUAUUCUUCUACUGGCUCCCUUGCUACUAGCUUCUUUGCUACGAAAGUGCCACAGCAGUAUUCUUCUACUGGCUCUCUUGCUACCUCUACUUUGCUGCAAUAGGACCACAUCCAUGGAAUUCAGGAUCAAAUGCAUUUUAUAAACGAGGCCCCAGGAUUCCCGUGAGACUAUCAAGAGAGGAAAAAUAAAAAAUGCCGCAGCUCAGACAAAAGACAGUCCUCUGUGUUUUUGUUACAGUCUCAACUGUUUGGACGACGGUCUGGUGUAGUACAUCUUUUGAAAACCAAGCAUCCAAGCCAUCAAUUUUAACAAUGCCACCAUAAACGUGUUAACGAACACUUAGCCUAGCCAUCUGGAAGACAAUUACACAGGAACAAACAUACCAGCUCAGCAACUAAAGGUUGGGUCAUCAAUCACAGACGAUGGUCACAAUCUAGAUGACUGUUUCUGCUGAGACCCAGCCUAAUAACCCAAUGAACUGCUGUGUCCAGAAGAAACAAGUUUUAGGCCCUUAGCUUUUCAGUAUGCUAAAGGGCAUAACAAUGAUAUAACUGUCACCUACGUUUUGUCAUUUUAUUCAAAUGAAUCCUCAUGAAUUGGUUCAUUUUACCCAGCAACAGCACCAAAAUAUUGCGUUCUGUCCCUAAGUUACAAAUCAACAAUACUGUA
This is a long non-coding RNA of Sinocyclocheilus rhinocerous, 794 nucleotides long. RefSeq lists it as uncharacterized. NCBI's taxonomy places the organism in Eukaryota, Metazoa, Chordata, Actinopteri, Cypriniformes, Cyprinidae. The transcript has 3 exons. The record is from RefSeq and is a predicted model, not a curated record.